Molecule: ribosomal RNA, 441 nt
Filed under: uncultured bacterium
Lineage: Bacteria
Description: bacterial SSU rRNA
Rfam family: Bacterial small subunit ribosomal RNA
Source: RNAcentral
AACGAACGCUGGCGGCAGGCCUAACACAUGCAAGUCGAGCGCACCUUCGGGUGAGCGGCGGACGGGUUAGUAACGCGUGGGAACGUGCCCUUUUCUAAGGAAUAGCCACUGGAAACGGUGAGUAAUACCUUAUACGCCCUUCGGGGGAAAGAUUUAUCGGAGAAGGAUCGGCCCGCGUUAGAUUAGGUAGUUGGUGGGGUAAUGGCCUACCAAGCCUACGAUCUAUAGCUGGUUUUAGAGGAUGAUCAGCAACACUGGGACUGAGACACGGCCCAGACUCCUACGGGAGGCAGCAGUGGGGAAUCUUGGACAAUGGGCGCAAGCCUGAUCCAGCCAUGCCGCGUGAGUGAUGAAGGCCUUAGGGUCGUAAAGCUCUUUCGCCUGUGAUGAUAAUGACAGUAGCAGGUAAAAACCCCGGCUAACUCCGUGCCAGCGCGCGGU